UGGAGCUGCAUACAUGUUCUACUCU
RNAcentral lists this non-coding RNA (25 nucleotides) under Rattus norvegicus (Norway rat). Lineage: Eukaryota; Metazoa; Chordata; Mammalia; Rodentia; Muridae. The record is from RNAcentral.